This 500-nucleotide ribosomal RNA is filed under the name uncultured Glomus. RNAcentral describes it as "SSU rRNA". It matches the Rfam family "Eukaryotic small subunit ribosomal RNA", at positions 591 to 1092 of the family's 1831-position model. The record is from RNAcentral. Lineage: Eukaryota; Fungi; Glomeromycota; Glomeromycetes; Glomerales; Glomeraceae.
CCAAUAGCGUAUAUUAAAGUUGUUGCAGUUAAAAAGCUCGUAGUUGAAUUUCGGGAUCAAUGGAUCGGUCAUGCCGUUGGUAUGUACUGGUUUUAUUGAUUCUCACCUUCUAAAGAACCAUGAUGGCAUUAAUUUGUUGUUGUGGGGAAUUAGGACUGUUACCUUGAAAAAAUUAGAGUGUUUAAAGCAGGCUUACGCUUGAAUACAUUAGCAUGGAAUAACGAAAUAGGACAUCGCAUUCUAUUUUGUUGGUUUCUAGGAUCGAUGUAAUGAUUAAUAGGGAUAGUUGGGGGCAUUAGUAUUCAAUUGUCAGAGGUGAAAUUCUUGGAUUUAUUGAAGACUAACUACUGCGAAAGCAUUUGCCAAGGAUGUUUUCAUUAAUCAAGAACGAAAGUUAGGGGAUCGUAGACGAUCAGAUACCGUCGUAGUCUUAACCAUAAACUAUGCCGACUAGGGAUCGGAUGAUGUUAAUUUUUUAAUGACUCAUUCGGCACCUUACG